Molecule: ribosomal RNA, 468 nt
Filed under: uncultured bacterium
Lineage: Bacteria
Description: partial 16S ribosomal RNA
Rfam family: Bacterial small subunit ribosomal RNA
Source: RNAcentral
GACGAACGCUGGCGGCGUGCUUAACACAUGCAAGUCGAACGGAAAGGCCCUGCUUUUGUUGGGUGCUCGAUUGGCGAACGGGUGAGUAACACGUGAGUAACCUGCCCUUGUCUUUGGGAUAACUUCAGGAAACUGGGGCUAAUACCGGAUAUGAUCUCCUGCUGCACGUUGUUGGUUGGAAAGUUUCGGCUGUUGGGGAUGGACUCGCUGGUUAUCAGCUGGAUUGUGUGGUAGUUGCUUACCAAGGCUUUGACGGGUAGCCGGCCUGAGAGGGUGACCGGCCACAUGGGGCCUGCGGUACGCAGCAGACUCGUACCGGAGGCAGCAGUCGGGAGCCUGGCGCAGUGAGCGGACGUCUGAUGCAGCGGCGCUCCGUGCGGGAUGCCGGCUUUCGGGUUGAGAACAGCUUUCGCCUGUACUGAACAGUGAGUGACGGUAAUGGGUAAGAAAGCAACGGCUAACUACGUG